Molecule: transfer RNA, 87 nt
Filed under: Leptolyngbya sp.
Lineage: Bacteria; Bacillati; Cyanobacteriota; Cyanophyceae; Leptolyngbyales; Leptolyngbyaceae
Also listed under: 4 other names
Description: tRNA-Ser
Rfam family: tRNA
About the family: Transfer RNA (tRNA) molecules are approximately 80 nucleotides in length. Their secondary structure includes four short double-helical elements and three loops (D, anti-codon, and T loops). Further hydrogen bonds mediate the characteristic L-shaped molecular structure. tRNAs have two regions of fundamental functional importance: the anti-codon, which is responsible for specific mRNA codon recognition, and the 3' end, to which the tRNAs corresponding amino acid is attached (by aminoacyl-tRNA synthetases). tRNAs cope with the degeneracy of the genetic code in two manners: having more than one tRNA (with a specific anti-codon) for a particular amino acid; and 'wobble' base-pairing, i.e. permitting non-standard base-pairing at the 3rd anti-codon position.
Source: RNAcentral
GGAGAGGUGGCAGAGUGGUUGAAUGCGGCAGUCUCGAAAACUGUUUGAGGGUCAAACCUCACGGGGGUUCGAAUCCCCCCCUCUCCG